GGUGGGGAAUUUUCCGCAAUGGGCGAAAGCCUGACGGAGCAAUGCCGCGUGGAGGUGGAAGGCCUACGGGUCGUCAACUUCUUUUCUCGGAGAAGAAACAAUGACGGUAUCUGAGGAAUAAGCAUCGGCUAACUCUGUGCCAG
Molecule: ribosomal RNA, 143 nt
Filed under: uncultured bacterium
Lineage: Bacteria
Description: partial 16S rRNA
Rfam family: Bacterial small subunit ribosomal RNA
Source: RNAcentral